RNAcentral lists this transfer RNA (66 nucleotides) under Anopheles eiseni geometricus. RNAcentral describes it as "tRNA-Tyr". It matches the Rfam family "tRNA". Rfam says of the family: Transfer RNA (tRNA) molecules are approximately 80 nucleotides in length. Their secondary structure includes four short double-helical elements and three loops (D, anti-codon, and T loops). The record is from RNAcentral. Lineage: Eukaryota; Metazoa; Arthropoda; Insecta; Diptera; Culicidae.
GAUUGAAUGGCUGAAGUUUAGGCAAUAAAUUGUAAAUUUAUUUAUGGGAAUUGAUCUCUUUAAUCA